Molecule: transfer RNA, 84 nt
Filed under: Kiritimatiellia bacterium
Lineage: Bacteria; Pseudomonadati; Kiritimatiellota; Kiritimatiellia
Description: Kiritimatiellae bacterium (gut metagenome) tRNA-Leu
Rfam family: tRNA
About the family: Transfer RNA (tRNA) molecules are approximately 80 nucleotides in length. Their secondary structure includes four short double-helical elements and three loops (D, anti-codon, and T loops). Further hydrogen bonds mediate the characteristic L-shaped molecular structure. tRNAs have two regions of fundamental functional importance: the anti-codon, which is responsible for specific mRNA codon recognition, and the 3' end, to which the tRNAs corresponding amino acid is attached (by aminoacyl-tRNA synthetases). tRNAs cope with the degeneracy of the genetic code in two manners: having more than one tRNA (with a specific anti-codon) for a particular amino acid; and 'wobble' base-pairing, i.e. permitting non-standard base-pairing at the 3rd anti-codon position.
Source: RNAcentral
GCAUCUGUGGUGGAAUGGCAGACACGCUGGAUUUAGGUUCCAGUGCCGCGAGGCGUGAGGGUUCGAGUCCCUCCAGAUGCACCA